This 384-nucleotide unclassified non-coding RNA is filed under the name uncultured Actinomycetes bacterium. RNAcentral describes it as "uncultured actinobacterium contains 16S-23S intergenic spacer region". The record is from RNAcentral. Lineage: Bacteria; Bacillati; Actinomycetota; Actinomycetes.
UCCGGGGUUUCCCCGGCAGUCCCCCAUGAGUGCCCGGCAUUACCCGAUGGCAACAUAGGGCGAGGGUUGCGCUCGUUGCGGGACUUAACCCAACACCUCACGGCACGAGCUGACGACGGCCAUGCAACACCUGUCCUGGUUCCCGACUUUACGGGUGGGCAACCCUUUCAGGCGCCUACUUCCAGAAUGUCAUGCCCAGGUAAGGUUCUUCGCUUUGCAUCGAAUUAAGCAACGCGCUCCGCCGCUUGUGCGGGCCCCCGUCAAUUCCUUUGAGUUUUAGCCUUGCGGCCGUACUCCCCAGGCGGCGAACUUAAUGCGUUAGCUUCGGCACGGAAGGCCUAAGGCCCUCCACACCUAGUUCGCACCGUUUACGGCCAGGACUAC